RNAcentral lists this ribosomal RNA (319 nucleotides) under uncultured bacterium. RNAcentral describes it as "bacterial SSU rRNA". It matches the Rfam family "Bacterial small subunit ribosomal RNA", at positions 86 to 422 of the family's 1533-position model. The record is from RNAcentral.
GCAAGGGGAGCGGCAGACGGGAGAGUAACACGUGGGAACGUACCCUUUGGUUCGGAACAACCCAGGGAAACUUGGGCUAAUACCGGAUAAGCCCUUACGGGGAAAGAUUUAUCGCCGAAGGAUCGGCCCGCGUCUGAUUAGCUAGUUGGUGGGGUAAUGGCCCACCAAGGCUACGAUCAGUAGCUGGUCUGAGAGGAUGAUCAGCCUCACUGGGACUGAGACACGGCCCAGACUCCUACGGGAGGCAGCAGUGGGGAAUAUUGGACAAUGGGCGCAAGCCUGAUCCAGCCAUGCCGCGUGGGUGAUGAAGGCCCUAGAG